GACGAACGCUGGCGGCGUGCCUAAUACAUGCAAGUCGAGCGGACGAAUCGAAAGCUUGCUUUUGAUUCGUUAGCGGCGGACGGGUGAGUAACACGUGGGCAACCUGCCCUGUAGACGGGGAUAACACCGAGAAAUCGGUGCUAAUACCGGAUAACGCGAAAUGUCGCAUGACGUUUCGUUGAAAGACGGCGCAAGCUGCCGCUACAGGAUGGGCCCGCGGCGCAUUAGCUAGUUGGUGAGGUAACGGCUCACCAAGGCGACGAUACGUAGCCGACCUGAGAGGGUGAUCGGCCACACUGGGACUGAGACACGGCCCAGACUCCUACGGGAGGCAGCAGUAGGGAAUCUUCCGCAAUGGACGAAAGUCUGACGGAGCAACGCCGCGUGAGCGAAGAGGGCCUUCGGGUCGUAAAGCUCUGUUGUUAGGGAAGAACAAGUAACGCAGUAACUGGCGUUACCGUGACGGUACCUAACGAGAAAGCCACGGCUAACUACGUG
This 498-nucleotide ribosomal RNA is filed under the name uncultured bacterium. Its description in RNAcentral is "partial 16S ribosomal RNA". It matches the Rfam family "Bacterial small subunit ribosomal RNA", at positions 28 to 507 of the family's 1533-position model. The record is from RNAcentral.